UACGGGGGGAGCAAGCGUUGUUCGGAUUUACUGGGCGUAAAGGGCGCGUAGGCGGCCAGCACAAGUCAAUUGUGAAAUCUCCGGGCUUAACUCGGAAAGGUCAACUGAUACUGUGCGGCUAGAGUGCGGAAGGGGCAACUGGAAUUCUUGGUGUAGCGGUGAAAUGCGUAGAUAUCAAGAGGAACACCUGCGGCGAAGGCGGGUUGCUGGGCCGACACUGACGCUGAUGCGCGAAGGCUAGGGGAGCGAACGGG
RNAcentral lists this ribosomal RNA (254 nucleotides) under uncultured bacterium. RNAcentral's name for it is "partial 16S ribosomal RNA". It matches the Rfam family "Bacterial small subunit ribosomal RNA", at positions 524 to 776 of the family's 1533-position model. The record is from RNAcentral.